CCUACGGGACGCAGCAGUGAGGAAUAUUGGUCAAUGGACGAGAGUCUGAACCAGCCAAGUAGCGUGAAGGAUGACUGCCCUAUGGGUUGUAAACUUCUUUUAUAAAGGAAUAAAACGAGGCACGUGUGCCUUUUUGCAUGUAUUUUAUGAAUAAGGAUCGGCUAACUCCGUGUCAGCAGCCGCGGUAAUACGGAGGUUCCGAGUGUUAUCCGGAUUUAUUGGGUUUAAAGGGAGCGUAGAUGGUUUGUAAAGUCAGUUGUGAAAGUUUGCGGCUCAACCGUAAAAUUGCAAUUGAUACUGGCCGUCUUGAGUACAGUUGAGGUAGGCGGAAUUCGUGGUGUAGCGGUGAAAUGCUUAGAUAUCACGAAGAACCCCGAUUGCGAAGGCAGCUUACUAAACUGUGACUGACAUUGAUGCUCGAAAGUGUGGGUAUCAAACAGGAUUAGAUACCCGAGUAGUC
This 460-nucleotide ribosomal RNA is filed under the name uncultured bacterium. RNAcentral describes it as "partial 16S ribosomal RNA". It matches the Rfam family "Bacterial small subunit ribosomal RNA", at positions 338 to 795 of the family's 1533-position model. The record is from RNAcentral.